This 1768-nucleotide ribosomal RNA is filed under the name Arcyria afroalpina. RNAcentral's name for it is "partial small subunit ribosomal RNA". It matches the Rfam family "Eukaryotic small subunit ribosomal RNA", at positions 26 to 1647 of the family's 1831-position model. Lineage: Eukaryota; Evosea; Eumycetozoa; Trichiida; Trichiidae. The record is from RNAcentral.
AUAUGCUUGUCCCAAAGAUUAAGCCAUGCAUGCCAUGAUUCCUUAAUAAAUCUGCGAAUAGCUCCGUAUAUCUGUUGUAACCAGUAAAGCCCCUCUGCGCCCUGUCCGGGCAUGCUCGGAUAGACGCGGUAAUUCUGCUUGUAAUACGUGUGAAACCGCCGCGCGGGGAGCGCUCACCCCUCGCGGGUGACUGCCCCCGUUGGACCGGCUGGCGUCCCGAGGACACCGAUCUUGCCGCUAGGCAGGGAUGGAGUUCCAGGGACAGCGCCAAAGAAUGCCCUCGAGGCACUUCUAGGCUAUGGGCUUCAGACCUAUCAACUGUUGGAGGCUGGGUAAGGUCCAGCCUCGGUUGCGACGGGUACAGAGGAUCAGGGUUCGGUCCUGGAGAGGUAGCCUGAGAGAUAGCUACUACUUCUAAGGAAGGCAGCAGGCGCGCAACGUUCCCAAUGGUUUGCCACCCAGUGGCCGAGGACGUUAAGGGACAUAACAAUGCCCUGCCUGAUAAAGGCGGGGUAAUUGUAAUGGGGACGUUUUAAACCCCCUACCGAGUAGCAAUUGGAGGACAAGUCUGGUGCCAGCACCCGCGGUAAUUCCAGCUCCAAUAGCAUCUAAUUGAGUUGUUGCAGUUAAAACGCUCGUAGUCUGAAUCGGCCGCACUGCCCCGUCGAGUAGGCCUUUCUCGGGGUGGACGCCCGGCGUAAGCCGGCUCCUCCCGGGCUUGGAUUCCAAAGGCGGGUGUCGGAGGCGGCCAUAAUGGCCGGGGAUCGGCGUAUCCCGCUCGCCCUCGUGGUUUGAGCGGUGGGGCUACCCCCGGUCGUUUUACUUUGAGGAAAUGUGAGCGCUCCAAGCAGCCCCGUUCGGGGCCUGAAGCCUGCAGCAAAGAAUAAUGUAACACGGCCUUUCAAAAACCGUGGUGUAUUGGUGCACCGCAAGGCAAUGGUCAAUAGGGGGGAUCGGGGCCGGCCUCAUGGCGGGGGUAGGGGUGAAAUCCGUUGAUCCUCGCCAGGAGAACAAGAGCGAAAGCAGCCGGCAAGUACCCUUUCUUUGAUCAAGAACGAAAGUCUGGGGAUCGAAGAUGAUCAGAUACCAUCGUAGUCCAGACCCUAAAUGUUGCCGACCAUGGAUGGGCGCAAGUCCGUCCCGACCCUGCCCGCACCUUGUGAGAAAUCAUCAAGUGUUUGGGCUCCGGGGGGAGUAUGGUCGCAAGACUGAAACUUAAAGGAAUUGACGGAAGAGCACACAAGGAGUGGAGCCUGCGGCCUAAUUUGACUCAACACGGGGAAACUCACGAGUGCAAGAGAGGGUCAUGAUGCCCGGCACGAAUUGCCUGGCAGAUUCUCUCAGUGGUGGUGCAUGGUCGUUCUUAGUUCGUGGAGUGAUUUGUCUGGUCUAUUCCGCUAACGAGCGAGAACCCGCCUUAUGGAUGUUGCCUGGCUCGUCGCGGGGCUGCUGCGGCUGGGCUGUCCCUAUUGGUCCCGCAAGGGGUCUCUAAGGGGGCGGGCUAGCGGGCGUCCCAAUUAUAGACGGGGUCUGGGUCCUGCAUGGUGCCCCGGCGAUAAGCCGGGGAUCUGGGUCAAUAACAGGUCAGUGAUGCCCUUAGAUGCACUCGGCUGCACGCGCGCUACAAUGGGAGGGCCAACGGGUCUUCAGCCCCUACGCGGGCGCGGAGAAUCCUAGUAACCCCGCCCACAUCCGGGAUCGCAGCAUGUAAUAUGCGGCGUGAACAUGGAAUUUCUAGUAGGCACGGUUCACCAGACCGUGCCGAUUC